AUACACAGAUACAUAUGUUAUAUAGCUCUAUAUAUAUGCCAUGAUUUAUGUAUAGAUUUAUAUAUACUUUUUGCAUUUAACAUAUAUUGGAUUCCUCUCUUUAAUGUGAAAAGUGUUUUAAAAAUCUACACCUUCUAACUAAAUAUGUCACAGUCUACCUAGUGAGACCAGGGCAAUGAGUGAAGCCAUUCGAUUAAGGUUAUAAUUAUUUUUCAAUAAUAGAUUAAUAGCAGUAGUAGUUUUUUUUCUGUAUUUACAAAAAAACCUAUGCAUGCCGUUAAAAUAAAAUUAUAUAUUACAUUAUUUAUAGUCUCUUAAAAAGUCCAUUCUUAACUUUUCAGCAUUUUGUGCUGCUUACAACAUAGCCUAUACUGUACAAUAUAUAUUUUUAAUUAGAUUUUUCAUUCGUUUUUGUUUUUAAAUGAACAUAUGAUCUGUUAUUUGUUCUUUUUUGUUGUUGUUUAUACAGACGAGCCUCCAAGGCUGCAUAAAUGAGAAUGAUUGAGCUUUGCUGAGCAGAGGUUUUUUUAAUUUCGUUUUGUUUCAGGUCAACACCCUCACAUGCAGCAACUGGACCAUUGUCACCAGAUGACAGGUAAGGGAAAACCACUGACAUCACUAUAAGAAACUGAAAAUGUAGUCGCUCUGAUGUGUGGAGUUGCCCGGCUCACAAUAAGCUGCUGUGGGACCAGUGCUGAAUGGUUAUUUGGCAUUAGUGUAGUGGUGUACUGAUGAGAAACAAGGCUGACCAGGGGUCGAAUAACUGCACAUUUAAAACCAAGGCCCUCCGUAGAACAGUGGUGAGAAUGAACAAUAUUCUCAGUCUGGAUUUCAUUUCAUCAUAACCUCCACAAUUAACACUUUUAUUACUGCCUGAAAUCUCUGAAGCUUGGCUCUGUGUCAGAUAGCCCUACUCUUCUCUCUACAUGAGAGUUCAGUGUGGUGGGAGCGCUUCUGCUUUAGCUCCACCCCAGAUUACAAACAUUCUCUGGACCUAGUGAAGGCCCUUAUUGAUGACAUCAGAGUCACAUGAUACAUCUGUGUUGUAUCCUGAGAAUAAUGGGGAAAGUCAACAAGCAUCAGUCUGUCUGAAAGUGUUAAGGAGUAGAAGAUCACUCCACUUCUGAGACAUUCCAGAAACUUCCAGACACAAAUUGCACACACCAAAUAAUCAGACAAACAUCUUUGGCUUCUCCUUAAACAGCUGUGACUGCCUAACCAUCCCGCUGUCUCUCUCAAGUCCUGUCCUGUCCUUGGCUACAAUCAAACCAUUGCUGAAGAUGUGAUGGUUUCAUACAUGGAUAAAAAUGUCCGGCUGAUCCUAGAAGGACAAACCGGGACGAGACUAGACGUAGACAAGCUGCAAAACUCGAACGAAAUAUAGCAUGUAAAAAUCAAAUGAAAAUUUUUUUUUUUAAAUAAAUAAAACUGCCACUUUCUCAGAAACGGUUAUAGCUCAUCUCAUCUAACCCUGAUGAGGAUUAAAAAUGCCAACCAACUUGCUACUCCCCUAAUAAUGCCUAAACCAUUGCCCCCCCCCCUGGACCCACCUACCAUAUGUGCUGUAGGUGAGGUAAGCGAUAUUGCUGCAUACAAAUAAAAUAAGAAGCUUUAGGAAUUACAGUGUUGUUUUGUAUCAUUUUCCUCCCGUCUCCAUACACACACAUUGACAUUUAGUUUUCCCAUUCAUUAUCUCCUGAGCAGCAAAAAAGGGGAUGUCCCUUGUAUCCUUCCUCUCCAAUAAUGUGCCACAAUGCUAGUAUUGGUUUCAAUGUACGUAUGCCACUGAUUAGCCACAGGCAUUUUGCCCCAUCUGAAGCCAAUCCCAAAUUUUGUCUAUUUCAUAAUGUUAAGUAGAGGAGAAGACGCAAUUCAGCAUCUUAGGCCCAUAUUCGGUUUCUGGUUGUAAAUUUAGCCAGCGGACAGCCUAAAACAUUGUCAAGCCACUGUGGUGGUCUGUAUUAGUGUUUUGUGGACUAUGAUUACUCAUGCAAAAUUUCUGAUCAAAACAUGCCAUCAUGCAAGUCAUUUCUAUGCAUUGAACAAGCACAAUAAUUUAUUAUUCAUUUGGAGAUGUGUAUUGGGGGCCCCUGGUUAUUGCCCCCUGUCCUAUUGUGUGAAAGCCCAUGUAGAAAAAGCCUUUUGAUGCAGGUAUAACAAAGUUAUCAUGACACAGUUACUGAGGGUGACAUGGGCAAAUUGUUAAAUUCGUAUUUUUCCUCAUGUUUCUCCUAUUUUUGCCACUCAAAUAAUGUAAAGAUCAUGUAAAAUAUAUUCGACAGUAACAAACGCAAAGAGACCGUUGGAAUCAGCCAGACUCUUCGAUUUGUUUCCCACUCAUGUCUAUCCUGCUCACUCUCACAGCAACGUUGAGUUCUUACACAUAAAUGAAAUGAAACGGUGCAGACUCUUUCACCAUCCGCUGCUGAUCCAUUCAUGAAUAGCAGUGUUUGUUUUCUGCAUGGAAAGUUCACCGGCGCAG
Molecule: long non-coding RNA, 2482 nt
Organism: Sinocyclocheilus grahami
Lineage: Eukaryota; Metazoa; Chordata; Actinopteri; Cypriniformes; Cyprinidae
Exons: 2
Source: RefSeq, a predicted model, not a curated record